This 307-nucleotide long non-coding RNA is filed under the name Mytilus galloprovincialis (Mediterranean mussel). Lineage: Eukaryota; Metazoa; Mollusca; Bivalvia; Mytilida; Mytilidae. The record is from RNAcentral.
GGAUAUAACGAGCAAUUUGGAAAAAUAAAUUUGUCGGUUUCUCAUACGGUUGCGAAGCCUUAGAUAUAACAAGAAAAACAGUGUUCGGGGAGAUAACUCUUACAAGGUAAAGUUUUUGUUGCGCGGUGUCAGUUUCAGAAGCGUAUUAACUGUUCGAUAUCAUAUACCAUAUAUCUAAGCGACAUCUUGGGAAACAAAAAAACAGUGAAGGGAAAAAAAAUUGGCGGAAGAAAAAAAAAAUAAUAAUCAGAACAAAAACAAUAGGUCUUUCACCUGAAAGGUUGAAAGACCUAAUAAUAAUCAGAAC